Molecule: ribosomal RNA, 440 nt
Filed under: uncultured bacterium
Lineage: Bacteria
Description: partial 16S ribosomal RNA
Rfam family: Bacterial small subunit ribosomal RNA
Source: RNAcentral
CCUACGUGAGGCAGCAGUGGGGAAUAUUGCACAAUGGGGGAAACCCUGAUGCAGCGACGCAGCGUGAGUGAAGAAGUAAUUCGUUAUGUAAAGCUCUAUCAGCAGGGAAGAAAAUGACGGUACCUGAGUAAGAAGCCCCGGCUAACUACGUGCCAGCAGCCGCGGUAAUACGUAGGGGGCAAGCGUUAUCCGGAUUUACUGGGUGUAAAGGGAGCGUAGACGGCAGUGCAAGUCUGGAGUGAAAGGCGGGGGCUCAACCCCCGGACUGCUCUGGAAACUGUACGGCUGGAGUGCAGGAGAGGUAAGUGGAAUUCCUAGUGUAGCGGUGAAAUGCGUAGAGAUUAAGAGGAACACCAGUGGCGAAGGCGGCUUACUGGACUGUAACUGACGUUGAGGCUCGAAAGCGUGGGGAGCAAACAGGAUUAGAUACCCCAGUAGUC